UGGUCAUCAUCAUGAAGAGAGCUUAUCCGUAGACAGUAUUUAAUCGUUUCCACUGUCAUGGAGUUGCUCUCUUUCUGGUCUGACCU
This is a microRNA precursor of Tetranychus urticae (two-spotted spider mite), 86 nucleotides long. It matches the Rfam family "mir-46/mir-47/mir-281 microRNA precursor family". From Rfam's summary of the family: The hairpin precursors (represented here) are predicted based on base pairing and cross-species conservation -- their extents are not known. In this case the mature sequences are expressed from the 3' arms of the hairpin precursors. The record is from Rfam. NCBI's taxonomy places the organism in Eukaryota, Metazoa, Arthropoda, Arachnida, Trombidiformes, Tetranychidae.